Molecule: ribosomal RNA, 497 nt
Filed under: uncultured bacterium
Lineage: Bacteria
Description: partial 16S ribosomal RNA
Rfam family: Bacterial small subunit ribosomal RNA
Source: RNAcentral
GAUGAACGCUGGCGGCGUGCCUAAUACAUGCAAGUCGAGCGAACGGACGAGAAGCUUGCUCCUCUGAUGUUAGCGGCGGACGGGUGAGUAACACGUGGAUAACCUACCUAUAAGACUGGGAUAACUUCGGGAAACCGGAGCUAAUACCGGAUAAUAUUUUGAACCGCAUGGUUCAAAAGUAAAAGACGGUCUUGCUGUCACUUAUAGAUGGAUCCGCGCUGCAUUAGCUAGUUGGUAAGGUAACGGCUUACCAAGGCAACGAUGCAUAGCCGACCUGAGAGGGUGAUCGGCCACACUGGAACUGAGACACGGUCCAGACUACUACGGGAGGCAGCAGUAGGGAAUCUUCCGCAAUGGGCGAAAGCCUGACGGAGCAACGCCGCGUGAGUGAUGAAGGUCUUCGGAUCGUAAAACUCUGUUAUUAGGGAAGAACAUAUGUGUAAGUAACUGUGCACAUCUUGACGGUACCUAAUCAGAAAGCCACGGCUAACUACGUG